GAUGAACGCUGGCGGCGUGCCUAAUACAUGCAAGUCGAGCGAACAGACGAGGAGCUUGCUCCUCUGACGUUAGCGGCGGACGGGUGAGUAACACGUGGAUAACCUACCUAUAAGACUGGGAUAACUUCGGGAAACCGGAGCUAAUACCGGAUAAUAUAUUGAACCGCAUGGUUCAAUAGUGAAAGACGGUUUUGCUGUCACUUAUAGAUGGAUCCGCGCCGCAUUAGCUAGUUGGUAAGGUAACGGCUUACCAAGGCAACGAUGCGUAGCCGACCUGAGAGGGUGAUCGGCCACACUGGAACUGAGACACGGUCCAGACUCCUACGGGAGGCAGCAGUAGGGAAUCUUCCGCAAAGGGCGAAAGCUUGACGGAGCAACGCCGCGUGAGUGAUGAAGGUCUUCGGAUCGUAAAACUCUGUUAUUAGGGAAGAACAAAUGUGUAAGUAACUAUGCACAUCUUGACGGUACCUAAUCAGAAAGCCACGGCUAACUACGUG
This 497-nucleotide ribosomal RNA is filed under the name uncultured bacterium. RNAcentral describes it as "partial 16S ribosomal RNA". It matches the Rfam family "Bacterial small subunit ribosomal RNA", at positions 28 to 507 of the family's 1533-position model. The record is from RNAcentral.